AAGAGACCGCGGGGGUGGAAAAGGCCACUCGCCCGAGAUUGCGCGCGGAAGUGGACCUUCUUUCUCGCAACGGGGUAGCGGCGCCGGGAUACCCCAGAACUGCUAGUCGUAUGAAGCCGUGGGAGUGGGGAAGGCUGACUUCCGUCUUCAAGGCUUACUCUGGAACAUAAUGUUGAGUGAAGGCUGUCAGGAGACAAAAAGCCCUAAGCCUGAAAUGCGUAUCAUCUGGCACAAAGACAUCGUUUACAUCUGUUGAAUAGCCGCGUGCUUAGACUUGAUCUGACCUUAUUCACCACUCAUACUGUAAGUCUCUGAGUGUAGUCUAUUCCUCUUUUCUCUGAAUUCAACAGUCUUUAAUUAUAUUGUGUCCAGUGUUGCUCGUACUCGUUUCAUGCAUGUGAAUCUCAUCUACCUGGCUAUAGUGUAAGCUUAUAAGGACUGAGCCUGAUAAACGUUUUACCUUUCCUAAAGUGCUGGCAGCAUGACAUUUACAGAUGUUACUUGACUUACUUUGGGGUUACCACCUGCUAAACCCAUCGAAGUUGAAAUAUCUCGAGUUGAAAAUGCAUUUAAUACACCCAACCUACUGAACACCACAGCUUAGCCUAGCCUACUUUAAACGUUCUGAGAACAUUUACAUUAGCCUAUAGUCAAGCAAAGUCAUCUAACACAAAGCCUAUUUUAUCAUAAAGUGUUGAAUAUAUCAAGUAAUGUAUUGAAUACUGUACAUUACUUCAAAAUUGUAGUGGUUUCGUACCCUCAUAAAGUUGAAAAAUCGGAAGUCAAACCGUCAUAAGUAGGGGACGAUCUAUACUUCGUUGCCUAAAAGUUUUUUUUUUUGACACUGUAUUAGGAGAUAUGAUCAUAUUCCCGCUAGUCUGAUUCCCCUAGAAUCUUGGGUAGGAAAAUGUUUGAAUUCCUUAGGCUACUCUAACAGUUCAAAGCCCUGAGAAUCUCUUCCUCCACAACUACUUGUUGCUAAUGAAGCUUUUGCCUGUUGAUUGAAAGAGUCAGACCUACAGUGAAAGCAUUAACUUAUAGAAUAGAUGGUCUCUGCCAUAGCUGAUACUGUCAGUGAAGCACCCACAGCUUUUCUGAUCCUUUUUUAGCUCUGGGGUCCAUCUCCCACUUUCUGUUUGGUUUCCUUUCAAUCAAUCCACUACACUAUUAUUCCCCAACCCAGAAUUGUCCCAAGGGAACCAUAGCCAUUGCCGGAGUAGUGUCUGAGUAUGAAAGCAAAACUUAUUUGCCUCAAAGCUAGAUAAGCCUGAAGGCAUGACUUAUGCUCCAGAGCUCUCCACAGGAUCAGGCUGAGGCCAGACAUCAUCCGGAAUUAUACCUUUGCUUGGCCUUUCUCCUUUCCCUGUCUUACUCCUCAUUCUCUUCUUAAAGUAGUGAGGCAAUUAGGAUCUGUACUUAAUAGUGUCUGGGUUGUAGCAUAAAAGUAAUGGAAAAAAGCUUUGUGUUCCAUGAUUUUAAAUAUUACAGUUUAAUAAGUCUUUGUUAUUCAGCCAGGAUGUGUAUCUUUGGAACUCACAAUGAGCAAUAUAAACCAUCAACGAAACCAGACCUCAGGAGUCUUUCUGCCCUGCCCUUUAGAAGGUCACAUUCUGCCCUGAGAAGGAUGAUAGAAAUAAAGAAACAGCACUUUGAGAGGCCGAGGCAGGCAGACUGCUUGAGGUCAGCAGUUUGAGA
This is a long non-coding RNA of Chlorocebus sabaeus (green monkey), 1695 nucleotides long. RefSeq lists it as uncharacterized. Lineage: Eukaryota; Metazoa; Chordata; Mammalia; Primates; Cercopithecidae. The record is from RefSeq and is a predicted model, not a curated record.